GAAAUAGUUUUUUUUGAAAUUAUUAUAUUGACUAAUAAUUCGGAUUUUCAGUUCAGUUCAGUUUAUUUAUACAGCACCAAUCUGCAGCAUGUUUUUUGUAAGGCAUUUUACAUAGUGAGGUGAAGACCUUCAAAAUUAUAAAGAGAAACACAACAAAUCCAAAGAUUCCACUGGAUUCACACUUGACAACAGUACAGAAGAAAAAAACUCCCCUCUAACAGGAAGAAACCUCUGGAAGAACCAGGCUAGGGGAGGGUGGCCAUCUGCCUCAACCGGCUGGGGUAACGGUAAAGCAGAAAUAGAAAAGGAUAGCAGAUAGAAAACACAAAAAUACAAAUUACAGGAAAAGUGAUGGCAUGCAAUUGUGGCUUAUAAGUGUAUAUAGAGAGAAAGAGAGGUGGCCUAUAGCUGCAUAACUAAGAAUGGUUCAGAGUCACUUAUGCCAGUCGUACCUAUACGAUUCAUCAAAAAGGAACAUUUUUAGUUUAAUCUUAACAGACAGCAUGUCUUGUAGCUUUAGUUUUAAAAAAGCUCUACAAGUAAAGAUUAUGUUUUCUGUAGCAAUAGCAAAUAAAUGAAUAAUCUGAAUAACAGAAUCCAGAAUGCUGUUUGCCUUAACAACCCUCUGAACCUCAAGCACUUGCUAGAUGUUUUUUGCUCCACAUUUUUACUCACUUUGGGCUCAUUUUUCCCUGCAAUAAAAAGUCCUGUACCUCUAUGGAAACAGCACAGCCAUGGCUAGAAGUAGAAGGAACUCAAAUGUCCUCCGUGCAGUAUUACGCAGCUAUGACAUAUUUCAUUAAAAAUAAAGGUUGGAUUUCUUUGUUUUUCUUUUUUCAUCAAACUGCGCAACGUUUUUUUUCAAGUGUCCACAUGUGUCACCAAUGCAAAGAAAAAAUGGUGACUCUAUAUAAUAUUGAUAUUUUAAUACAUAAUUUUAUUUAAAUUUUGUUUAUAAUUACUCUAUAGUCCUCUUUGCUUUGUGUAAACUCAGCAUGUAGUUGAGUCUGAAUUUUUGUCAUGUCAAUUUUGGUUGCAGCUGAGUCACUAAAGAUUUUAUGACUGUGCAAAGAAGUGCUGAAUUUUUUUGUUUUGACAUAAUCUAGUUAGUGAAACGGUUCAGUUUUGGUCGUUUUUUUAACAUAAGUCAUGUAGAAUAAAGUGAUUUUGAUGAAAUAUCAAGUUUAGCACCACUGGAAAGUUGAAAAUCUGAUGAGUCGUUCUGUUUUUACAGUUUCUGGCUCUUAUAAAUUGUGUUAUUUUGAAGUUUUUUUUAACAUACUAUACCUUCCAAACUUGCCAGCAGGUUGUGGAGUUCAAUCCUCUGAACUUUCUAGAAAUUACCAAGGACAUAGCCUAAGUGUUGUGAGGGGUAGCUUUGGCCUUGAUGAGUUGUUCAGUGGAGGAAGUUGGACAAGUGAAUCAAAGAGCAGAUACAGUCGCUGGUCAGGUCUGUACGCUGCACUCCUUAAUGAGGCCAGAGAGGGGUUACUACAGGUCAGCUUACACCACUGACACAGAUUACCCAUGCAGAGGAAACUCCUGCUGCUCUACUGGGAAGAAUUCUGCAAGCACUGAGGACAGAAGAAGCUACACUCAACUAUGUAAUCUCAUUGUCUCCCCAACACGGAAAGCGGCUAUUCAGAGGUGGCCAGAAACUUGGCAGCGUAUGCAUGGCGAUGAGAAGAAUGGCCACUUGUAGUCACAGUGUUCAGUAGGCUGGACACAGCACACGGGGCAGGACUGGGAGGAUUUAGCUUCUUAUAGUGUGGGAAAGACGGAGGACAGAUGAGGGGAAUCCACCUCUUGUUUGGAUUAAAGACCCACAGUUGGUCGAAGGUUUAUUGACAGACUCUAUUUAUAGUCUUUGAACUACUGACCGACUAGUGUUGGCCUGACACAAACGGUGUCCUCCCUCGCCAUCACCUGCCUGUCAUGCCAGCAGCAGCCUUCAGUCACGGUUGGUCCACACACCAUCGAAUGAUGCCUCUACGUAAUGACAUCACAACUUAAACCGGAUUAUCCCGAGGCGAGUGACAUCACCGCCCCCACCUCCCCUCAUCAUCUCGGACCAUCUGGGGGUUACUACAGGACGCCGGGUUCAAUGGUCACACUGGCUGUUGCUGCUGCACGGUCGGCUCCGGCCUGCACCGUCACCCUGCAGCUGUCACCUGGAACUGACCCAUCACAGGGACCGCACUGUUCCCACGAUUAAGGCUGACAUAUCUGAAUAGAAAUGUGGGACUGCAUUCAAAGUAGGGAAGAAAGAAAAGCAAGUUCUCUGUGGAGAUAAAGUGGUAGUUGUGGGCUUCAAAAUGACCAGCUGAAACAUCUGAGAGGUUUAGUUCAGUCGUUUAUUUUCCCUUUUUUCCACACGUGACACAGAAUUAAAACACUUUAGGCCCUUCACUGUCUGAGUUUCGUACAAAAGAGCUUACAAAAGAGUCCCGUAAAAUAUUUAUCUCAUGUUACAACACAUUGGGUACAAAUCACUGCAUGCAAUAAAACAACGUAUUACGUUUUUUUUUCCUUUAAAAAAAGGACAACACCUGGCUGAUCGUUCGCAGUGCUGGGAUGAUUUGCUCUUUCAGGUGGGAGGUAAAGUUAGGCUUUCUCAUAUGUGCGGACCGCCUGGACUCCCUCAAAGCUUAACGUCUGGAGACAGAAAAAAAGAAAAUGCAGUGUAUUAUAAUUACUUGGCAGUUGGCAUUUUGCUGUUGCAAAUAUAAAAUUUUCUCCAAUCCAUGUGAGUCAUAUAAAAUUAGUUAUUGCACAACUGCAAAGACAAGGCGAGGCAGGUUUGCUUGAACACCCUUUAAGAACAGGAUUAUUCAAAGCGCCUUGCAUAAUAAGCCUGAAAUGCUGUGUGGAUCAAAUGGCUCCAUAAAUUGAUAAAUGUAACCACAAUGACGAGGCAAAGCCCGUUUAUUUGUAUUGCAAAUUUCCUAAGACAACUUCCAAGUGCUUUACAUGGUGCAAUAACAGGGAAACACAACAGAACGUGCUCUUACCAUCACCAUCUUCCCAUCCUUGAUUUCUCUGACAAAUCUGGUCUCUUUGCCAUCCCACUUCUGUACUUGCACGAACUUGUCUCCCUCCAUGGUGAAAGUGGACUGCAGGCAGAAUCAAUGUCUUAUUUAGCACCACAGAACAUCUCACAGGAGUAUACUUUAACUUUUGCUCUGCUUACUUUGACAUGACGGUCAUCAGGAGUGGUCUCAUCAAAUUCCUCUCCCAGUUUGGAGGAGAUCUCAGUGUUCCUGAAGGUGCUCAGGGUUUUCACCACCACUUUGUCCCCAUCUUUGCUAAUCACCACUGUUGGUUUGGUGGCGUUGCCCACCGUUCUUGUGGCCAAACCAACACCUGUCCCAGAAAAGAAGGUCUAUCUUUAAUCAUGUAUUUUGCAAAUUGAACCUAUAAGAACAUUUGAUUCUUUAUUUUAUUCUUGUCUAUACCUUAAGUUAAAGUAUUUGAGGAACAUGUACAAAAAGUGUCUCAAAAAGGAAAAUAAAAUGUCUUUUGCUCACCAAGUGCCUUCAUAUAAUCAUCAAAGUUCUGGCUGUCCACCAGUUUCCAUGUAGCGCAGAAAGCAUCAACCAUUUUUGCAGAUGUUAUUGGUCCAGUUCAGCGUAAAACUGCCACACAGUCCUCUGCUCUCUGUACAGUAAAUCCCACAGCCGGUGCAGCGUGUCAGCAUGUCAAAUUAAUACUGCAGCGGGGGGGCGAGGACAUAAACCGCAGCGCACAGCUGAUUGGAUGAGCCAGAUCGUUUGUGGACUGUGAUUGGUCGUCGCAAAGUGUGCUGUUAUUGCUGAAUUAUCAGAGUGUAUCACACAGUGUAUAUAAAUAUACAAAUGGUAUAAAUAAUUAAAGUAGUAAUUUACGCCAGUGACAAAUACAGGAAACAUAUCUUAUCAUUUUUAUUAUCAUUUUUUUCCUCUGGACGCGUGUGUACAGUAUGGAAAGCCAACAGGGCCAUAAAUCCUCACCUCCCAAAUAAGCUUUAAAAAAAGCACUAACAAAUAUAAAACGCUAUAAACUUGUCAUGGUCCGUGUAUAUAUCUGGCAAUUGGAUUUUCCGUUCUGAAACGGGUAUUGAAAAACAAAAAAAGAGUGGUUAUUUGAUUUUCGUUUUAAAAUACAAAAAUUUAAAUUGAAACACAAGGCGUUUUUCCUUUUCAUGAUCAAAAAGGGAUAUACCAAAUUUUAUAAAAUGGUUUGAUUCUCAUUUUAUAUUUAGAAUAACAAAAAUAAAUAAAUCAGUAAGAGACAGAAACGAAAAAAGGUCAGUUUUUUUAAAUUUUCUGAGACCGGAAGUGGUCAUCAGCAAGUGUGGAGCCAAACGACAACAAGAUUCUCAGAGGGCGGAGCCAGAGAGCAGUGAUUGGUCAGACCAUAGAAGACAGCGAGCUAGCGUAUCUAGUCUGCUAUAUAUAUCUAUGGUCGGCACGUGUGGUAGCAUCUCUGGCUGCUGUUGACCUUGUUUUUGGAGUAAAACACGGUGGAAGCUGAAUUAGUGAGGAUGACUCCUGCUCCUGUCAUCUCUAAGCUCCUCACACAUCUUUACCUGCACAUGAGGAAAAUCACUCCUGUAGAAUGCAGAUGUUCAGAGGGAGAUGAUGCCACAUCUGGUCCAGCUGAUGGAAGGUCUUGAAGUUCUCUGACUGGCCUCGACUGAAGAUGGUCGUCUCACUGGAUUUAAGGUUCAGAUGCUCAGUAACAAACUCCACCAAUGUGCCAACAGGGAAGCUUUAGGUUUACUAAAUGUUGCUAUGAAGGUUUCACUGUUUUUCUUUGUGAAUGCAAUGCGCUCCAACUGAAACUUGAAUUAGAAAUUAGAAGUAAAUCCUUCCAUCUGAAAGGAUUUAGUUGCAUUAAUAACCUCUUAACAUUCUAAUUUUUCUUCCAGUCUUGGUUGGAAAUAGAAUCUCUGUAUUGAUUCAGGUAAAAACUGAACUUCACAGCAUGUUGGAGCAAAACAACCAGAUGAAAACUGUGAUGGUGUUGGAUUGUCAGACCGUAAUGUUGCAGCUCAAAGCAGCUUUUCUAGCUCAGUUCAUUGUGACAUUCAGCUAUGAAUCAACACAGCAGAUGGUGAUCCAUGCUGUGGAAGUCUCACAUCUCCUGAUUUAAUGGAGCUGCUUUGCACUUUUUACACUGUUUAUUCACCAACACUUUAUUUAAUAAAAGUCCCAUCUAGUUUUUAUGAGGAAUGUGAUGUUUUAAUUUCUCUGUGAAUAACUGCAGUCUAAUGUAACAGCUGGAAUUGUAACAUCUGUCCUGAUAUUGAUCAUAAAGUAUUGAUCAGAAUACUUAUGGUCAGCAGUCAUCCCUGAAGUUUUAUAUUAAAAUCUUUACUUGUGUUAUGAACUUUGGUAAGAAGCAGAAACUUUAGCAUUGCUAUAGAUAUAUGAGUGUUAAGUUCUGUCCAUGUUUCCAUUUUGGGAAAUGCAGUCCAGCAGAUGAGUUUUUUACUGACAGCUACCAUUCAGUCUGAGAUAUUAAGAAUAAAUAAAUGUGCAUAAUGUGGAAAUGAACAGAUUAUAUUUUUAUUUAUUCCUACAGCUGCUGCUGGUAAAGUUCCAGAAUGUGGAGGAAUUUAGUCUCACAAUCAGACAAUAAAUAUUGUCUGAAAGUCGGGUUAUUGUUGUUUAUCAGCACAUGUUGGACAUAUUCCAGUUAAGACUCUAGAAUAUCAGGAUUUAUGUAAAUUUACCUCAAUAAUAUGAAUGUUCAGGUUAAGAUUGUGCAGUGAUAUUUAUUAUGUAAGUUUAGCUGAUUAAAGUUUAUGACUCUGCACUACAAAAUUAUUUAUUAUUUAAAUUUACAUCAUUAUUAUAAUAUUUAGGGUCAGACCCUACAGUAUUGAGAUUAAGAAAUCAAAUAUUCUAUAAAAUGUAAAUACACUGAACUCAUUUGGAUAUAUUUAAGUGAAACUCUACAAUAUUAUUUGACACAAAUCUAUCUAAAUCAAAAUUUUUAUCAUUUUUACUCCAAACAUUUACUGGACUGAUUUAAAUAUUAAAAUCACUCCUUUCUAAUCCUCUGCUGUACGUUCAAACCUGAGGCCUUAAAUAGAAACACACAAGUAUCUGUUUGAAGGAACUUCUGCAGAGUCCUGGUUCCAGAACAUGAUGAUAGAAUUAUAGACAAACUUUAACAAAAGCUGCCUGAGAGUUUACAGGUUUUUAUGUUGGAUUUCUUCAGUAAUUUAAUGAGCGUUAUCAGCAAAAAUCAAGUGUUCAUUUGAUGAACUUCAUUUCCUAAAACAUCCAGAACUGGAGCUCAUAUCUUUGGCAGCUGUAAAGUUUCUGCUCCUUCAAAGUUCACAACACAAUGAAUUAAUUCCUAAAACACUCUCAAUGCUGGAGAGCGUUUGUGAUGCUGAAGCAGUGACCAGUUUUUCUGUUUCUUCUCUGGAGAUGCACAAUGAGGGACGUCUGCAGAGACUGAGAAAGAGUCUCACCACAUCCUGACAUGAGGAAAAAGACUUUAUUGAAGACUACAAUGAGAAAAACUAUCAGACAGCAGAUGGCAUGCAUUCAAGGUGAGCUCUGAACAUUUGAUCUGGAACAGGAAUUCAAUAACGGCAGCAUGAGCUUCAUUUCAGUCUGUAGCUGCUGAAUUCAUGGAUGAAUCAUCUGGCACUAGAGAAGAAGACCAUCAAACAUCCACGUCAGUUGAUGGAGGUCCAAGAGUCUCACCAAACAAACAACCUACAGAGUGAAGACCUCAAAUCUGAUUGGACGGCCUCCUAUUCAGCCACAUGUGUGAACAAAUGCCUCUAAGCUGAUUUGUUUUCUAAAAUAAAUCUAGUUUGAGUCCUAA
Molecule: long non-coding RNA, 6828 nt
Organism: Amphiprion ocellaris (clown anemonefish)
Lineage: Eukaryota; Metazoa; Chordata; Actinopteri; Pomacentridae
Exons: 4
Source: RefSeq, a predicted model, not a curated record